Molecule: unclassified non-coding RNA, 425 nt
Filed under: Melitaea cinxia (Glanville fritillary)
Lineage: Eukaryota; Metazoa; Arthropoda; Insecta; Lepidoptera; Nymphalidae
Description: misc RNA ENSMCXG00005018175.1
Source: RNAcentral
GGCUCCUAAAGCGCUUAGCAUUAGAUAACCUUAUUAUGAAUACAUCCACGUUCAAUAAAUAUGAAAUAUGAACAGAAAAUUGAAAGCAACAUAAUGAAAUAGAAUUUUUAAUAUAAAAUGUAUUAUCGUAUUCAAACGGCACCUACUGACUUUAUCUUUCGAUUAUUCGUGGCCUAUCACGUAGCAUCGUAAAAUACUAGACGGAUUGUAGGUAAGGCAUCUGAACACACGUAUGUUGGCGUAAAACUUGCUCUAUUCAAACUUAACCGACUAAGCAGAAACAAUGGUCUACUCACGUUGAAAGCAAAGGGAAGGAAGAAAAAGAACUUUACACCUGUGGAAGUUAGUUAUGUUUCGUUAAUCAAUAGCUGCUGGAAGACGGUCACCAACCCGUCUGCCCAGCGUGGUGACUAUGGGCAAAACAC